This 708-nucleotide ribosomal RNA is filed under the name Helminthoglypta sp. Jawbone. RNAcentral describes it as "partial 16S ribosomal RNA". The stretch from base 250 to 435 matches the Rfam family "Archaeal large subunit ribosomal RNA", at positions 1804 to 2099 of the family's 2987-position model. Lineage: Eukaryota; Metazoa; Mollusca; Gastropoda; Stylommatophora; Helminthoglyptidae. The record is from RNAcentral.
UAGGGGUGAAAGGCCAGUCAAGAAAUAAGAUAACUUGAUUUUAAGGAAAUACUUUUAGGGUAAAAGACAGACGGUUAAUGACAAGGUUAACCAUUUAUAUAAGUGUAAAUUUUCAAUUUAUUUAUUUUUUAAUUACUUAAAUUUUUAUUAAAUUACUAUUCAAAUUUUGAAUCUGUAUAAUAUACUUAUAAACACACAGGAUGAUGUCUAGCUUAUAAUGUUGAUAUUAGUAAUUAAUAAAGUUUAUAUAAGGAAUUCGGCAAAUUUACUGGUCAACUGUUUAACAAAAACAUAACCGUAUGUAAAUAUAUUCGGCUAUUUCUGCUCAAUGAAGUUUUUAAAUAGCCGCAGUACUCUGACUGUGCAAAGGUAGCAUAAUCAUUUGGCUUUUAAUUGGAGUCUGGUAUGAAUGAAUAAAUGGCUAUUUACUGUCUAUUAAAAAUACUAUGAAUUUUUUUAAUAAGUGAAAAUACUUAUAUUAACAUAAUAGACGAGAAGACCCUUGAAAUUUUUACAAAAUGUAGGUAUACUACUGGUUUUUGUUGGGGCGACAGAAUAACAUCAAACUUAUUUUAUAUAUUUGUACUACUUAUUGCGAAAAGAAAAAUUACUCUAGGGAUAACAGCAUAAUUUUUAAUAGUUUGUGACCUCGAUGUUGGACUAGGGUCAACGUUAUCCAGAAGAUAACGUUGCAUGUUCUGUUCGAAC